UCCCUGGUGGCUCAGACGGUAAAGCGUCUGCCUGCAAUGCAGGAGACCCAGGUUCGAUUCCUGGGUCGGGAA
Molecule: transfer RNA, 72 nt
Organism: Ovis aries (sheep)
Lineage: Eukaryota; Metazoa; Chordata; Mammalia; Artiodactyla; Bovidae
Rfam family: tRNA
About the family: Transfer RNA (tRNA) molecules are approximately 80 nucleotides in length. Their secondary structure includes four short double-helical elements and three loops (D, anti-codon, and T loops).
Source: Rfam